UGGAAACAAAGCAGAGGCAUGUGUUACAGGGCGUCUCUUCUCCACCCACCGGCUGCCUGGCUCUCAAGGUCAAGACAGGCUUCAAGGGACUGUGGCCAGUUACAAAGGAAGAUGAUGUGGUCACCGUCCGUGAGAAAUCUGUGGCCUGGAGGGUGCCACCCCCAGCCCAGAGGCCUGCCUUCGGAUCCAGCCACCCCCUGCCAUUGCUACUGCCCCCUGGUGCCCAGACACAGUCAGAGGGCUUGAGGAGGCAGCCGUGCAGGAGAGGCCAUGUGGACCCCGGGGAGAAGACAGCUGCCUUUGAGCCAGAAGACAGCCCUUACUCACUCCCCAAGUGGCAACAUUAAAUGCAGAAUUCCCAUUAUGUGAGCCCA
Manis javanica (Malayan pangolin) is the source of this 374-nucleotide non-coding RNA. NCBI's taxonomy places the organism in Eukaryota, Metazoa, Chordata, Mammalia, Pholidota, Manidae. The record is from RefSeq and is a predicted model, not a curated record.